This 61-nucleotide transfer RNA is filed under the name Botryllus gaiae. Its description in RNAcentral is "transfer RNA-Met(UAU)". Lineage: Eukaryota; Metazoa; Chordata; Ascidiacea; Stolidobranchia; Styelidae. The record is from RNAcentral.
UUUAAUAUAGGUUAUGAAAACUAUUGAAUUUAUUAUUCAAAGAAACUUUUUGUUGUUAAUG